GACGAACGCUGGCGGCGUGCUUAACACAUGCAAGUCGAACGGAAAGGCCCUGCUUUUGUCGGGUGCGCGAGUGGCGAACGGGUGAUUAACACGAAAGUAACCUGCCCUUGACUUUGGGUUAACUUCAGGAAACUGGGGCUAAUACCCGAUAGGAGCUCCUGCUCCAUGGUGGGGGUUGGAAAGUGUCGGCGGUAGGGGCUGGACUCGCGGCUUAUCAGCUUGUGGGUGGGGCAGUGGCUUACCAAGGGUUUGACGGGUAGCCGGCCUUAGAGGGUGAACGGCCACAUUGGGACUGAGAGACGGACCAGACUCCUACGGGAGGCAGCAGUGGGGAAUAUUGCACAAUGGGCGGAAGCCUGAUGCAGCAACGCCGCGUGCGGGAUGACGGCCUUCGGGUUGUAAACCGCUUUCGCCUGUGACGAAGCGUGAGUGACGGUAAUGGGUAAAGAAGCACCGGCUAACUACGUG
This 468-nucleotide ribosomal RNA is filed under the name uncultured bacterium. RNAcentral describes it as "partial 16S ribosomal RNA". It matches the Rfam family "Bacterial small subunit ribosomal RNA", at positions 28 to 507 of the family's 1533-position model. The record is from RNAcentral.